This is a long non-coding RNA of Cucurbita moschata (crookneck pumpkin), 1080 nucleotides long. RefSeq lists it as uncharacterized. The record is from RefSeq and is a predicted model, not a curated record. The transcript has 3 exons. NCBI's taxonomy places the organism in Eukaryota, Viridiplantae, Streptophyta, Magnoliopsida, Cucurbitales, Cucurbitaceae.
UAACACACAAACAUGCAUGAAGUCCCAUGACUUACCUUAACCUAAUACAUGUUUCAAGUUAACUCCAAUAGCCAAGUCACUUAACUGGUUGACUUGACCGAAGUUCCCCACGAUAAGUUUAAUCGCAUCAAUACUACAACUUCAACUCCUAACUAUUUCCUAUAAACAUCCACAUAACAAGGGUCUAUCCACAUAAAAAAUGGUCUAUUUAUAUCUUGAGCAAGCUAAGCUAUUUGAUAAAUAAAAGUCAUACCGAUCUCAAAAGGUUAAAAUAAGGUCAGAAAUUGCUUCAUAGGAUUUAGUAUAUUAUCCAGAUAUCGAGCCACCAAGCUGAGCCGCGAGAAGAGACGGAGCCGGGGACCUGAGCCGCGUUUGCGCGCAUGUGUAAAGUCGAAGGCACGCAUUUCGUCUGGGCGCGAAUCGUGUAUCCGCUGGGCCGUCAACUCCACUUGGGCUGAAGAAGCUGUGAGCUGGACCGUCUGGUCGCAUGGACUGGGCCGACGUUUUCAGUCAGGCCGAAACAGAAUGGGCUGGACAGUGGGCCGUAAGCGACUGGUUGGGCUAUGCAUGUUCUCGGGUGUAUAGUUGCUGACCCGACCCGUAUCCGAUACCUCUUCUUCCUUACCCGAGAAAACACGAAAACCCUAAAUCGAUUCCCCUUUUCUGAAUCCGACGAGACUGAACGCCAUUCACGUUGAUUCGCACCAUUUUGUGACCUCCUGUUGACACAACGCCUACACGGUAUUUCUCUGCUCCGAUUCCUCAAACUCCUCCUCGUAAAAUCUCCAAACUCCAAAAGUCUCUCUGUUUUCUCUCUCAAUCUCGGGUUAAAAAGCAUGGAAAAGGAAAGAAAAUUUGCUCAAAUCAGCCGCUUGUACUCCGAUUUUGGCCGAGAGUUGUUCACAACAAACACUCACUCCGACUAAGAAUAUUCAUUUCAGCAUUCACAUCGUCCUAUUUCAUGAAGGAUCGAGAAUGAACGGAAGGAUAGAUUCGGCUCAACUUCCAUAAAAAUCUUGAGUAGAUUCAGGUUGGAAAUCAGAGUCGUGAGACCCCACAUUAGUUGGGAACGAGAACAAA